ACGGAGGAUCCGAGCGUUAUCCGGAUUUAUUGGGUUUAAAGGGUGCGUAGGCGGCCUUUUAAGUCAGCGGUGAAAGUCUGUGGCUCAACCAUAGAAUUGCCGUUGAAACUGGGGGGCUUGAGUAUGUUUGAGGCAGGCGGAAUGCGUGGUGUAGCGGUGAAAUGCAUAGAUAUCACGCAGAACCCCGAUUGCGAAGGCAGCCUGCCAAGCCAUGACUGACGCUGAUGCACGAAAGCGUGGGGAUCAAACAG
RNAcentral lists this ribosomal RNA (251 nucleotides) under uncultured bacterium. RNAcentral describes it as "partial 16S ribosomal RNA". It matches the Rfam family "Bacterial small subunit ribosomal RNA", at positions 525 to 775 of the family's 1533-position model. The record is from RNAcentral.